RNAcentral lists this ribosomal RNA (253 nucleotides) under uncultured bacterium. Its description in RNAcentral is "partial 16S ribosomal RNA". It matches the Rfam family "Bacterial small subunit ribosomal RNA", at positions 524 to 776 of the family's 1533-position model. The record is from RNAcentral.
UACGAAGGGGGCUAGCGUUGUUCGGAAUUACUGGGCGUAAAGGGCGCGUAGGCGGUGUGUCAAGUCAGGCGUGAAAGCCCCGGGCUCAACCUGGGAACAGCGCUUGAGACUGGCACGCUCGAGUUCGGGAGAGGAUGGUGGAAUUCCCAGUGUAGCGGUGAAAUGCGUAGAUAUUGGGAAGAACACCGGUGGCGAAGGCGGCCAUCUGGACCGGAACUGACGCUGAGGCGCGAAAGCCAGGGGAGCGAAUGGG